GGCAAGAUGGCCGAGCGGUCUAAGGCGCUAGGGUCAGGUACCUGAUCAUACAUAUUCAUCCGAAUAUUCCUAGUCUCGAAAGGGGCGUGGGUUCGAAUCCCACUCUUGUCA
Molecule: transfer RNA, 111 nt
Filed under: Aspergillus heteromorphus CBS 117.55
Lineage: Eukaryota; Fungi; Ascomycota; Eurotiomycetes; Eurotiales; Aspergillaceae
Rfam family: tRNA
About the family: Transfer RNA (tRNA) molecules are approximately 80 nucleotides in length. Their secondary structure includes four short double-helical elements and three loops (D, anti-codon, and T loops).
Source: Rfam by way of RNAcentral